UGGGGGAAGUUCGAAGUUUAAACCAUCGUCUUAUGCAAUAUGUUUACGAUGUAUAAAUAGGAAAACUUACAAUAUUCAUUCAUUUAUUUGUAUUUUUCUGAUUACACUGCACAAGACAAUGAAGAUAUUAACUGUUGUAUACCUAUUGUUAUUGGUGUUAACGGCGGCUGUAGCCCAGUAUUACUCUGGACAAGGAAUGGGAAGAUAUCAAUUUGGGCGAAACAGAGGAGGAGGUGGUAACGUGUUACGAGGGAGAUAUUACCAGGGCAAAUGAUUACAACUACUUCAUAUUUGCUGAUUUGACAGAAAAGUGAAAUUUUUAAGCCUACCCUAUGUUUUCUUGUUAUAUUUGUAGAUUUUGUAGUUUUAUAAAUAAAAUUUACUAAACACAGAA
This is a long non-coding RNA of Mytilus trossulus (common blue mussel), 394 nucleotides long. RefSeq lists it as uncharacterized. Lineage: Eukaryota; Metazoa; Mollusca; Bivalvia; Mytilida; Mytilidae. The transcript has 3 exons. The record is from RefSeq and is a predicted model, not a curated record.